Molecule: ribosomal RNA, 1318 nt
Filed under: uncultured bacterium
Lineage: Bacteria
Description: bacterial SSU rRNA
Rfam family: Bacterial small subunit ribosomal RNA
Source: RNAcentral
GAUGAACGCUGGCGGCGUGCUUAACACAUGCAAGUCGAAUGUACCAAUACAUGGCUGACUGGUGAGUAACGCGUGACCGAUCUGCCCAUAUCUGGGGGAUAACCGUUGGAAACGACUGAUAAUACCGCAUAAUAUGGUUUGAAGGCAUCUUCAAACCAUCAAAGAUUUAUCGGAUAUGGAUGAGCUCGCGUCUGAUUACCUAGAUGGAGAGGUAACCGCUCACCUAGGCGACUAUCAGUAUCCCACCUGACAGGGUGAUCGACCACUUUGCAACUGAAACACGGGCCCAACUCCUACGGGAGGCAGCCGUGGGGAAUAUUGGGCAAUGGAGGAAACUCUGACCCUCCUCCGCCGCGUGAAUGAUGAAGGUCUUCCGAUUGCACAGUUCUUUUCUAAGGGAACAACACAGUGACCGCACCUUAUGAAUAAGCCUCGGCUAACUACUUGCCGUCCGCCUCGGGACUACAUAUGAGGCAAGCGUUAUCCGGAAUGACUGGCCGUAAACGGUGCGUAUGUGGUUUGGCAAGUUAUUAUCGUAACUCCGGAGCUCAACUUCGGAACUACUACUAAAACUGUCUGACUUGAGUGCAGGAGGGGCAACUGGAAUUCCUAGUGUAGCGGUGGAAUGCGUAGAUAUUAGGAGGAACACCAGUGGCGAAGGCGAGUUGCUGGACUGUAACUGACACUGAGGCACGAAAGCGUGGGGAGCAAACAGGAUUAGAUACCCUGGUAGUCCACGCCGUAAACGAUGAAUACUAGGUGUAGGGGGUAUCGACUCCCUCUGUGCCGCCGCUAACGCAUUAAGUAUUCCGCCUGGGGACUACGACCGCAAGGUUGAAACUCAAAGAAAUUGACGGGGACCCGCACAAGCAGCGGAGCAUGUGGUUUAAUUCGACGCAACGCGAAAAACCUUACCAGGCCUUGACAUUGAGUGAAAGUCCAAGAGAUUGGACCCUCCUUCGGGACACAAAAACAGGUGCUGCAUGGUUGUUGUCAGCUCGUGUCGUGAGAUGUUAGGUUAAGUCCUGCAACGAGCGCAACCCUCAUAUACAGUUGCCAAUAUUAAGUCAGGAACUCUGUAUAGACUGCCGUGCUUAACACGGAGGAAGGUGGGGAUGAUGUCAUAUCAUCACGGCCCUUACGGCGUGGGCUACACACGUGCUACAAUGGCUAUUACAAAGAGUUGCAAUACAGCAAUGCGGAGAGUAUCUCAAAAAGAUAGUCUCAGUUCGGAUCGAGUGCUGCAACCCGCCCACGUGAAGUGGGAGUUGCUAGUAAUCCCGAAUCCGCAUGUCGGGGUGAAUGCGUUCCCGUGUCU